UAGGGAAUCUUCCACAAUGGGCGCAUGCCUGAUGGAGCAACACCGCGUGAGUGAAGAAGGGUUUCGGCUCGUAAAGCUCUGUUGUUAAAGAAGAACACGUAUGAGAGUAACUGUUCAUACGUUGACGGUAUUUAACCAGAAAGUCACGGCUAACUACGUGCCAG
This 164-nucleotide ribosomal RNA is filed under the name uncultured bacterium. RNAcentral describes it as "partial 16S rRNA". It matches the Rfam family "Bacterial small subunit ribosomal RNA", at positions 355 to 511 of the family's 1533-position model. The record is from RNAcentral.